Molecule: long non-coding RNA, 4082 nt
Filed under: Nicotiana tabacum (common tobacco)
Lineage: Eukaryota; Viridiplantae; Streptophyta; Magnoliopsida; Solanales; Solanaceae
Description: long non-coding RNA (NTAB_LNC006508)
Source: RNAcentral
UUCUCUAUAUUAUUAUGGAAUUAACAAUCACUAGCAAAUGCUGAAUCGUAACUAUCCCUCUUCUGCACAUGGUUUCAUAGAAGAAGAGUAACUACAAUACUUGCAUUCAAGAAGUAAAAAUGGAAUGUAAAACCAUACUGCGAGUGAUGCUGAUUCCGUAUAGAAUUAAGAGAGAUGGAUAAGAAUUCAGCAAAGUAACGAUCUUAAGCAAAAAUUUCAUACGAAAUUAUACUGCAUAGUAGCAAUGGAAUUUUGCGGUUAUAAAGGAGUACGGUGCAACCUCUUCCAAGAAUAUGAUACGAAUAUUUUCCUAUUCCAGGUAUGUUAAAGCUAAUACUUCAUUUUAACAUGAUCCAAGUAAUGAUACAUAAACGUAAUGCUAUUUCAUAAGUGUUUCUACUCUUAGAAGUUAAGGAUGUCUACGUUAUUCAUUCUUGUAAAGUGAUAUUCAAGCUUGUGUAAGUAUGUUUCUAGUUCCAUGUUGAGGUAUUUGAUAAAGAUGUUAACAUUAAUAGUAUUGUGAUAAACGCAUCUUCAUUUACCACCGAGCUACGGCCGGUCAGGAAGUUACCACCGGUUGGAUAGUUAUGUAUCAUUAUUUACCACUGGUUGGCCAGUCAUGUAUAUUCAUUUACCACCGGUUGGGUAGUUAUAUAUCAUUUUUUUCCACCGGUUGGGCAGUCAUGUAUAUUCAUUUACCACCGACCUACGGCCGGUCGGACAGUCAUGCAUUUACCAUCGCACUACGGCCGGUCGUGUAGUUACUACUUAUCAGUUGGGUAGUCAUGCAUCAUACGAUAUGGAUAAUAGAUUCAAAGAGAAGCAUUAUAUAUAUAAGUGUAAGUAUGCAUAUACAAUGGCACUUCAGAGAAUCAGGCUGAUUCUUAUAUGUCUUUAAUUAAUGUUGACUUAUUGUUACGUUUCGGUUCUGCCUUAGAUACUCAGUACAUUAUUCGUACUGACGUUCUUUUUUUGGAGACACUGCAUUCAUGCCAGCAAGUAUAGAUAAUCAGUUUGACGAGCCCUCAUAGUAGACGAGAUUGGCAUUCAACAAAGGAUCGGUAAGAGUUUACUUCAUUCGGAGUACAACCGAGUCUACGAGUCAUCGUGUCAGAGUUUUGCUAAAGACUUAUGGGUAGACCGGUACCCUAUCUCAUUUGAUAUCAAAUAAUAAAAGCUUUGUUUAUUUUUGAAUAUGGUAAAUUAUACACAUUAUAUAAGAAAGUUUAUGAGAUUUUCUUUAUUGUAAAGAUGAAAAUUAUUAUUUUUACAAGAAAAAGAGGUUAUCUUUUUACCAUUUUAAGAAUUAAGCGUAUGAGAAUUAUUUUCUCUUUAUAUGAGAUUAGGAAAAUUAUAGGUUGAGAAAAUAUAUGUAUUUUUACAUGAAUGUUUUAAUAAAAAUAAUAGUGUAUGUAUUUAUUUUAUAUGGUACCAUAUGAUCAUGAUCGUAUAAUGUAUAAAGUAUAUUAAAAAUAAGUAGAAUUUUAAGUAAUUUGAGAUAAUUCAUAAUUAUGCGGAUAAUUGGUUAAUUACCGGAUAGCGAGAUAUUACCUAAUUAAUUAAUUGAUUAUUGGAUAAGAUUAAUAUCCCCACCCACCCCACGUGGCGGCAAGCCACUAAACCAAACAAAUGACUCUUACUCCCUUUUAAUAUGGUGGCCAUCUAAAGUAAUGUAGAUAUGACACUUACGUAAAGGUUUGGCUUCAUUUUGACUUAAAAUAAUCAAGUGAGAGAUCUUAUACCUUCUCCCUAAUUCAAGACUUAAAAAGAUCCUAUUUAUUUGUUCCUAUAUAUUAGAUACCAAUAUUCUCUAUGUUAUUAUGGAAUUAACAAUCACUAGCAAAUGCUGAAUCGCAACUAUCCUUCUUCUGCACAUGGUUGCAUUGAUGAAGAGCAACUACAAUACUUGUAUUUAAGAAGUAAAAAUGGAAUGUAAAACCAUAACGCAAGUGAUGCUGAUUCCGUAUAUAAUUAAGAGAGAUGGAUAAGAAUUCAGCAAAGUAACGAUCUUAAGCAAAAUUUUCAUACGAAAUUAUGUUGCAUAUUAGCAAUGGAAUUUUGCGGUUCUAAAGGAGUACGGUGCAAUAUCUUCCAAGAAUAUCAUACGGAUGUUUCCCUACUCCAGCUAUGUUAAGACUAAUCCUUCAUUUUGGUAUGAUCCAAGUAACGAUACGUAAAUGAAAUGCUAUUUCAUAAGUGUUUCUACUCUUAGUAGUUAAGGAUGUCUACAUUAUUCAUUCCUGUAAAGCGAUAUUCAAGCAUAUCUAAGUAUGUUUCUAGUUCUAUGUUGAGGUAUUUGAUAAAGAUGUUAAUAUUAAUAGUAUUGUGAUAUACGCAUUUUCAUUUAUCACCGAGCAAAGGCCAGUCGGGCAGUUACCACCGGUUGGGUAGUUAUGUAUCAUUAUUUACCACCGGCUGGGCAGUCAUGUAUAUUCAUUUACCACCGGUUGCACAGUUAUGUAUCAUUAUUUACCACUGGUUGAGUAGUCAUGUAUAUUUAAUUACCACCGAGCUAUGGCCGGUCGGGCAGUCAUGCAUUUACCACCGCGCUACGGCCGGUCGGGCAGUUACCACUGAUCAGUUGGGCAGUCAUGCAUCAUAAGAUAUGGAUAAUAGAUUCAAAGAGAAGUAUUAUAUAUAUAAGUAUAAGUAUGCAUGUACGAUGGCACUUCAGAGAUUUAGGAUGAUUCUUAUAUGUCUUUAAUUAAUGUUGACUUAUUGUUACGUUUCGGUUCUGCCUUACAUACUUAGUACAUUAUUCAUACUGACUUCCUUUUUUUGGGGACGCUGCAUUCAUAUCUGCAGGUAUAGAUAAUCAGUGUGACGAGCCCUCAUAGUAGACGAGAUUGGCAUUCAGCAAAGGAUCGGCAAGACUCCACCUCAUUCGGAGUGCAGCCGAGUCUAUGAGUCAUCGUGUUAGAGUUUUGCUAAAAACUUAUGGGUAGACCGGUACCCUAUCCUAUUUGAUGUCAAAUAAUAGAGGAUUUGUAGACAGAGGUUCAUUUUGUACAGUAUUUCAGAGGCCUUGACGGCCCAUAUGUAUUUUAGUGAAACAGUGUUGCCCACUUUUAGUUAUACAUUAUGAGUUGUGGCCAUGUUGCCCCAUGAUAGUUACAAAAGGAAUGAGUUCAGCCAACUCGACCUAUGUAUGUUCUAGUUUUGGUCGAAUGAUCAUGAGUUACAGAGUGGUUGGCUCGGGCCAGCUCGACACCGGGUGCCAUCCAUUUUACCAUUUUAAUAAUUAAGCAUUAUGAGAAUUAUGGGAUGUAUAUAUUAAGAGAAUUAAGAGAGAUGGAUAAGAAUUCAGCAAAGUAACGAUCUUAAGCAAAUAUUUCCUACAAACUUAUACUGCAUAGUAGCAAUUGGAUUUUGCGGUUCUAAAGGAGUACGGUGUAACAUCUUUCAAGAAUAUCAUACGGAUGUUUCCCUACUCCAGGUAUGUUAAGGUUAAUCCUUCAUUUUGUCAUGAUCUAAGUAACGAUACGUAAACGUAAUGCUAUUUCAUAAGUGUUUCUACUCUUAGCAUUUAAGGAUGUCUACGUUAUUCAUUCCUAUAAAGCGAUAUUCAAGCAUGUCUAAGUAUGUUUCUAGUUCCAUGUUGAGUUAUUUGAUAAAUAUGUUAAUAUUAAUAGUAUUGGGUAGUUAUGUAUCAUCAUUUACCACCGGUCGGACAGUCAUGUAUAUUCAUUUACUACCGGUUGGGGAGUUAUGUAUUAUUAUUUACCACCGGUUGGGCAGUCAUGUAUAUUCAUUUACCACCGAGCUACGGCCGGUCGGGCAGUCAUACAUUUACCACCGCGCUACGGCCGGUCGGGCAGUUGCCACUGAUCAGUUGGGCAGUCAUGCAUCAUACGAUAUGGAAAAUAGAUUCAAAGAGAAGUAUUAUAUAUAUAUAUAAGUAUAAGUAUGCAUAUAUGAUGGCACUUCAGAGAUUCAGGCUGAUUCUUAUAUGUCUUUAAUUAAUGUUGACUUAUUGUUACGUUUCGAUUCUGCCUUAUAUACUCAAUAUAUUAUUCUUACUGAUGUCCUUUUUUUGGGGAUGCUACAUUUAUGCCUACAGGUAUAGAUAAUCAGUUUGACGA